GUCUACGGUCAUACUACCCUGAACACGCCCGAUCUCGUCUGAUCUCGGAAGCGAAGCAGGGUCAGGCCUGGUUAGUACUUGGAUGGGAGACCGCCUGGGAAUGCCAGGUGCUGUAGGCU
Molecule: ribosomal RNA, 119 nt
Filed under: Callorhinchus milii (elephant shark)
Lineage: Eukaryota; Metazoa; Chordata; Chondrichthyes; Chimaeriformes; Callorhinchidae
Source: RNAcentral